Non-coding RNA from Delphinapterus leucas (beluga whale), 1010 nucleotides. Lineage: Eukaryota; Metazoa; Chordata; Mammalia; Artiodactyla; Monodontidae. The record is from the annotation of a RefSeq genome assembly.
AUGUUUAGAAAAUUCAUGACCAUCCAAAAUUGAUUAAAAUAUGCUUUCAUUUUAUUUAAAAUAUUAAUUAUCUCUAUUUGGAAUUUAUUUCAUAGCUGAUGUUAAGGUAUGCAUCCAAAUUUAGUUGCUGAUCUCUAGAUGACUCUCCAUUCAUGAAGACAUAUUUUACUGAAUAUACCAUCUUUUCCCUAUUUUUUGAUAACUAAAUUUCCAUAAAUAAUUUGUAUGUUUGGACUUUCUAUUAUGUUCCGUCGAUAUCUCUAUCUGGACCUUUCUGGUAACAUGCUUCUUCACUUAGUACAGCAUUACACUUUGUCUUACUAACUGUGGAGGAAAUCCCUCACCAUUCUGUUUCAGAACUGAAGGCCUCCUGAAGCCCGAGAUUAUCUGCAGUAUCAGAUAGGGCCUCUAGAGGAAGAUGCUACACAACUUGAACUCGAUAGAAAGCCAGAAAGCAGCCAGCCCUUUGAGGAAGAGUUUUUACUUUGCAUGCCAGUGUAAACUCACUCACUGCUCUGUCAGGGUGUCCAUGUGGCUGAACUGUUUCCAGGAAAAACCUGCAGAAAGGAGCUUCCUGUUUCCUCACAGCUCAGACAUGAAGCCCACCCUCAUCUCAGUGCUCGUGAUGAUAUUCACACUCAGAGGAACAAGAGCCCAGACAGUGACUCAGCCUGAGGACCACAUCUCCGUCUUUGAAGGGUCCCCAGUGCAGGUGAAGUGCAACUACUCAUAUUCUGGGAGUCCUGUGCUCUUCUGGUAUGUACACUACCCCAAACAACAGCUCCAGUUACUCCUGAGACACACCUCAAGAGAGAGUAUCAGAGGUUUCACGGCUGACCUCAACAAGGGUGAGGCAUCUUUCCAUCUGAAAAAACUAUCAGCUCAAGAGGAAGACUCAGCGGUGUAUUACUGUGCUCUGAGGGACACAGUAACUGGUUUUACAAAGGAAGCAGAGCACAAACCCCUUAAGAGUUACUGAAAAUAUUUCUCAGUUCCCUAUUUGGCCACAG